AAUGAACGCUGGCGGCGUGCCUAACACAUGCAAGUCGGAUGUGCCGCAAGGUGCAUGGCAGACGGGUGAGUAACGCGUGGGGAACCUACCUCUUCGUGGGGAAUAACGAUCCGAAAGGAUUGGUAAUACCGCAUGAGACCGACGGCUGGGAUGCUGUCGGUGAAAGCUGGGGACCGGAAACGGCCUGGCGCGAGGAGAGGGUCCUGCGUCUGAUUAGCUAGUUGGUGGGUAACGGCCUACCAAGGCAUCGAUCAGUAGCCGGCCUGAGAGGGUGAUCGGCCACACUGGAACUGAGACACGGUCCAGACUCCUACGGGAGGCAGCAGUGGGGAAUUUUGCGCAAUGGACGAAAGUCUGACGCAGCAACGCCGCGUGGGUGAUGAAGGUCUUCGGAUU
RNAcentral lists this ribosomal RNA (396 nucleotides) under uncultured bacterium. RNAcentral describes it as "bacterial SSU rRNA". It matches the Rfam family "Bacterial small subunit ribosomal RNA", at positions 29 to 424 of the family's 1533-position model. The record is from RNAcentral.